UUACAUUUUAUGUGGGUUAAAAUAGGGCCGUCUAAUAUAACACACGGGCUAACUCUAAAACCUUUUUUUUUAUGAAAACAAAUCACUGAAAGGCGUUGUUUUAAUUUUUUUUCUCCAGUUCUUCAUCUUUCCUCGACGAUUCUAAAUCGAGAGUUCCGCUUCAUGUGAUUUCAUUUCUUCUCCAGUUCUCCAUUGCCUGAUUGUAAUCCGGAGACACGAUUUCGUCUCCAGUUCUCCAGUCAUCGCCCUCCUCUCUCGCGAUCCUCUGUGUUGUGUCCGUCGAGCAAUCUCUUCUUCUCCUUGACAUCGGUGAGAAAAUCGAUAUAGGGUUUGUGGGUUUGUUGAAAUCGAUCUCCAGGGUUUGUGGGUCUGUUGAAAUCGAUCUCUAAGGUUUGAUUAUGUUUAGAGUUUGAGACUGAUGUAUAUGUUUGAGUUUAGUCUUGUAGCAACGAGUGUUGUAUGUUGAUGUGUAUGUUUGAGUUUUUUUGCUUCUUUAUUUUUUUUGCAGGACAUGCGUAAAUCAAGGUUUUACAAUAUAUUUUAGUUCAAUAACUGAUUAAAUGUGUUAGUAUUUUUGUUUGAGUUUGCUUUUCCAAAUUUCAAAAACUAUUCAGCAGUGCAAAACAGUUUGUAAAAUACUUUCAACUAGGUGUUUUACCCGCACAUGCGGGCAUAAUCAUCUUACGAAUAUUUAUUAUUUUAUGUCUUAUUAAUCCAAAAAUCGGCAUUAUAAAACUCUAACUGGUGAACAUGGUGAAAGAAAAAAAUUAUGGUGAAUUCUUUGUUCCUCAAAAUUUAUACCAGUUAUGUUGAAAUUUUAGUCAAAUUAUUGAAAGGUAGAUCCCACUUUUUUAUUCUAAAUUUCCCAUGGAAGAAUGAAUUUAUAAGAAAAAAUUUCUCUAUGCAAUUUUGAUAAGGAAUAAAUUGAACAAAAAUUCAUAUUUCUAUAUUUUUUCAAUUCUUCAAAUGAAAUUUUAUUUUUUAUUUUGUUUAUUUUUUUCAUUUUUCUAGUGGUGACCAACUGAAGCUAUAGUGUUUCACGGAUUAAACUUAAACUGAUUUAAAUUAAAAGCAAGAAACCUUGUUUUGAACUCAGUCACAAGUUAAGUUAUUAUUUAUGAUUUUAAAAUAGUUAAAUCAAACAUCAAAUUAUUUAUAUAUGUCAAAAAGCGUUCAUCAAACUAUGUAAUUAUUAUUGUGUUAAAAGUUUUAAAACACUCAUAUAUUAGAAAUAGUUUAGAAAAUAUCUUUAUAUAAAUAUUUUUGUUUGACUAAUAUUUAAUUAUAAACUGUUUUAUAUCUUAGUUGUUUAACUUUAUAAUAAAAAAAUAUUAUUUUCAGAUAGCAACACAAUAUAUAUAAGAAUUCUCUUAAUUUUUAAAUAUAUUUUCACAAUUUUAUUAUAUUAGUUUAUAAUUAAUUAUUUAAUAUAACAUAUAAACUUAAUAUUAUUAAAAUAAAAUGCGUGUUUUAUAUAAAGAAAAAUUAAUAAAUACUCAGUUAAAAACUAAUAAUAAGUCAAUGACCUAUAUAAAAGCUUAAAACCUAAUAAAAUAUGACAAAUAAGAAAAUAAUUUUUUUAAUAUAACAUACAUAUUUAAAUAUUAUUAAAUCAAAAUUCGUUUUUAAUUAUAUAUAAAAUUUAUUACGAAUAUUUUUUUAAAUUAAUAAAUUAGUGAUUCAGCUAAAAAUUAUUAAUAAAUCAAUGACUAAGCUAAAACCUAAUAAAAACAUGAUAAAUAAGCAAAAUUGACUAAAAUCAUGGAAAACAUGACAAAUAAGCAAAAUCAAAAUAAUUAUAUAUCUAAUUACAUAUUUUAUAGUUAUCUUAUUUAAAUUAAUAAAUUAUAGACACUCAACUAAAAACUAUUAAUAAAUUAAUGAUUCAGCUUAAACAUAAUUAAAACAUGACAAAUAAGCAAAAUUACCUAUAAUCAUGGAAAUCAUGACAAAUAAGCUAAAUCACUUCAUAAAUAAUAGUAUAGAUAGAUAAUUUCUCUUAAAAUUUUGUAGAUGUUAAUUUUAUUUACAAAUUGAUUGAUCGUUUUAUAUAUCAAAAUCACAUGUUAAAGUUAUACGUAAAUCUGGAAGUCUCUUAGUCUAGUGGUUUAAUUAAGGAUUUAUUAAAGCUUCUACACCAUGAGGUCUGGAGUUCAAAUCUCAGAAAACGCAAAUUAUGCAGAUUAUGAAGAAAUUAGUUACAAGAGGUUUUCAGUAUGGUACAUGGCGUAUCAUCGAAAAUAAAGUUCAUAGGACAACUCAAAAUGAUGCAGUGAGACAUGCAUUCUCAUAUGAUGCUAGAAUUGUCGGCUGUAAAAUCGUCUAAUGUAAUAUUUCUCAUCGUUGUAAUAGCAUAAUUAAUCAGACGUUUAAAAAAAAGUUAUACGUAAAAAUAAUAUUAAAAUUAGAGAUCCAAAAAAAGUUAAAAAAGAACCCAAAAAAAAGUUAAAAAGAAAGAAAGAUAUAACCACACGGUGUUGACAAAAAAAACCACACGGUAUGACGUUAGUCUCCGACAAGCUUUUUUUUAAUCACUACCUACAAGUUGGCCAAACAUCAACCUUUUUUAUUUUAUCACUACUUUUCUUACCCUAAGUUUUCAUUUUUGAAAAGAUAUCUAAAUAUGUAUAGAAGAUACGAUAUGUUUCCUGAUUAAUCGGAACAUGCAUGAAAGAAGAAAAUAUCAAAUCAAAUAGUACGUAACGCUUUACGAAACUGUGGAGCAAACUGAGUCAUGCAGAAGGGGACGUUGUGUGUUGGGUAGGGAUGUUAAUAUGGGUUUUGUUCUGUAGGGUUAGCCCAGCCCGCAUCCAUUUUUUUAACCCGAAGCCCGUUACAUUUUAUGUGGGUUAAAAUAGGGCCGUCUAAUAUAACACACGGGCUAACUCUAAAACCUUUUUUUUUAUGAAAACAAAUCACUGAAAGGCGUUGUUUUAAUUUUUUUUCUCCAGUUCUUCAUCUUUCCUCGACGAUUCUAAAUCGAGAGUUCCGCUUCAUGUGAUUUCAUUUCUUCUCCAGUUCUCCAUUGCCUGAUUGUAAUCCGGAGACACGAUUUCGUCUCCAGUUCUCCAGUCAUCGCCCUCCUCUCUCGCGAUCCUCUGUGUUGUGUCCGUCGAGCAAUCUCUUCUUCUCCUUGACAUCGGUGAGAAAAUCGAUAUAGGGUUUGUGGGUUUGUUGAAAUCGAUCUCCAGGGUUUGUGGGUCUGUUGAAAUCGAUCUCUAAGGUUUGAUUAUGUUUAGAGUUUGAGACUGAUGUAUAUGUUUGAGUUUAGUCUUGUAGCAACGAGUGUUGUAUGUUGAUGUGUAUGUUUGAGUUCAGUUGAUGGAAGCUUUGUUUAGCUAUGUCUAAGCUAUGUGAUAAUGAAUUGCUUUAGUCUUAGUUUAGGUUUGUUCUGUGACUAGCUUGUAACUUGUAGUCUGCUUUGUAACUUGUAGUCUGCUUUACAUGAUAGCUUGCGUAGAGUUCCAAGAUAGCUUGUGUGUGUUCUGUAAACAAGUUUGUGAAGUUCAGUGAAGGAAACACAUUACAUGUUUAGAUCCUUUCCUGAGACAUGAAUGUUACAUAGUAGCAGCAGCCAUGAUAAUAUUAUAUGAGUGUAUAUUACAUAGUAGCAGCAGCCAUGUUCAGCUUUAGCUCUUGUAAACUGUAUGAGCUAACUGUUUUGUUAUCUUUUGUUACAGUAUAGAGUUCACAGCUUUGCUUAUUUGAUGCUGUUUGAUUGCUUGUAUGAUGUUUGUUUGACAGCUUUACAUGACUGCCAUCUCUCUUGUUUUUGCAGAGUGGAGUCACGUAGCCAAGUUUGGAGCUUGGAGGAUACAUGUAAUUUUAAAGUCUUCACGAGACUUGUAGUGAAUUAUAUGAAUAAAAAUAUUUAAACUUUUUUUUUUUUUUUUUUGAAUUUGGAGACAAAAAUGAAUUAACACUUUUUCUAUUUAUAUAAUAAUAUCUUGAGUU
This 3954-nucleotide long non-coding RNA is filed under the name Brassica napus (rape). RNAcentral's name for it is "long non-coding RNA (BNAP_LNC005356)". The record is from RNAcentral. Lineage: Eukaryota; Viridiplantae; Streptophyta; Magnoliopsida; Brassicales; Brassicaceae.